This 2681-nucleotide long non-coding RNA is filed under the name Sus scrofa (pig). Its description in RNAcentral is "lncRNA (ENSSSCG00000048267.1)". Lineage: Eukaryota; Metazoa; Chordata; Mammalia; Artiodactyla; Suidae. The record is from RNAcentral.
AGUUUAAUUUAGGAAAACUGGGAAAAUACCAAGGUAAGUGGAUUUCACCUCCUUCCUCUGCCAGAUUGACUGGGGCAGUCCUGGAGCAGCAGUUCAGGGUUGGAGAAGGGUCAGUGCACAAAAUGUUCCUGAAAGGCUGGCUUAGACCAGCCUGAUGGAGGAACGGAAUUCAGCUCCAGGUACAUGCCCCCUGCUGUGCGGCAGACGGACACACAGUGAUACUUUUAGGACAGUUCUUGGGGAUGGAGGGAGUGGGGAGAUGAGCAUUGUGUUUGCUUUGCUCCAGGCCCUGGGAACUUAACUUUAAAGGCAGGGACCACUAGGUCCAGGUAUGUAUAGGUAAUGAUACCUUGAAAGGAUGUUUCAGGUAGAAAAUUUAUGAAGUCCAAAGAAUUGGUUGAAAAAGCUUGAACUUGCUCUUUGUCCUGAGAUUGUACAAAGCUGUGGAUUUUGAUGUCUUUCCUCACACAGGAACUGCUGGAAGCCUCUCUGGUCCAUUACUCAGAUGUAGGUGUCAUUCUUGUCCUGGGCCUGUCUGCCUGUUUUUGUGGACAUUGGCUUCUUGGCCACCCACCCUCAUCGCUGCCUGAGAAUUCUUGGUCUUUGCUGGCCAAUGGUGAGCCCUGGUGCAGGAUGCUUUGGCUCUCUGAAUCCCUAACCUGAGCCCUCUUAGUAGGUGGUUUCUCGGGGUAUAUACUCUUUCCCAUACUGCGGCCACAGGAGGGCAGUUUUAACACCCCUAGAAGACCCUUAGAUCAGAUUUCUCGAUGGGCAGCCCUGAAAUCCUUUCUGUAUAGUGUUAGGUAGUACCGCCCCCAGGCAACAAGACUUUGGAGAAUUACCACUGACUGUGCACUGGCCAAGGACAGAUGACUUCCUGAACCUGGAACUCUCCUUUUCUGGGUGAAAGCACCACUGGGGUUCAAAGGGAUCCCUGAUGUCCAAUUCCAGUCACCUAGGGAAUCUUGACAAGGUCAUCCUUAUCUGGGACCACACCAUCAGUGUGUGUGUGUGUGUGUGUGUGCGUGUGUGCGUGCGUGCGUGCGUGCGUGUGUGUGUGUGUGUGUGUGUGUGUGUGUGUGGUGUUACCACAGGAAGAGCUGCUGCACGGAUUUUCUAAUUCCUUCUUUGUGCCUUGUUGGAUACUAGAACCCUCCUCUCUGCUACCUUUCAAUCCAGACGUCUACCUUUUCUGGCUUAAAAUUGACCUUUCUAAAGCUUUCCCUGACUACAACAUGCUGUGAUGACUUUUGCAUUAUUUUUGUAAUCUUAAAAUUUGGUUAAUGCCUCUUUCAGUAUUUUUAUCUCCUAUGUAUUGUAUAGUACGAUGUUUAGCACACAAUACACAUGUAAAUAGUGCCUGUGACUUAACUAGUGAUGUACCCCAUACAUCUGAUGGAGCCAAUGAGCCAUCAGAUGGAAUAAGUAUUUCUGGGAAGCAAGCCAUUAUCCAAGGAAUGAUGCAAAAUAGGAAAGACCAGCUCUGUCAGUUCUCUUUGGUUGCAGAUAUGUAGGAAGUGGUCUAUGAAUACUGCAUUUGCCUAGAAAUACCUAUCAGUAAGGAAGUCUCAAUGAUUUUGUAGAAAAAUACUGUGGCAUCUGCUAAAUCCUUUCCUUGGAAUUGCCUCUUGGUCUCUAACGUGGAAUAUCAAUCUCUUUGGAGCUUUCAGUUACUAGAGGGGAAGCUUCAUGCCAGGGCCUAAAGGCAUUUGCUAAUAAUGCUUGCUUGAGAAUAAAUGUGCGAUAAGAAAAUAUGCUGGGAAAUCCAUUAUUUGCCUUCAUGAAGGGCUAGUUUUUGUGGACUCUUCGGAGGAGUCGUGCUCCGAGGGCAGGACAUGUGUCUUAAUCCCCAGCACCAGCCCAGCGCCUUCUUUGAAGGCGGCACUCAGACAUUUAUGGUAAAUGAAUGGAUAUUUUAAUUAGCUUGGAUAUCAUCAUUUUGGUGCCUGUGAGCAUGUUAUAGAACAUGAUCUCAUUUAUAAUAGGGAAUGAUUAAGCCACAAUGAAUUUGUGCUGUUAUUUAAAAAUAUCACAAUUUAGCUGUGUAACUGGUAACAAUUUUGAAUUUGUGCUGUUGGGGUGUUUGGUAAAAAUGGUAUAGAAAUACUAUUACUACUAUCAUAUGUAUGUAUUACUAGUAAUAAUUAGUAUGUAUAUAUAUGCAUACACACACAUACACUCACACAGAUAUAUCACAUAUGCUAGGCAUUGUUUUUAACAGAAUUAAUUCUAACAGUAACCCUGUGAAUAAAUACUCUCAUUUUUCACCUGAGGAAGCUGAGGCAGAGAGAAAUUGUGACUUUCCAGAGCUCAGUAGCAGAGGUGAGAUUUGAAAGCCAGGCAGUCUAGCUGAAGAAGCCAUGCUAUUAACCAGUAAUUCAUACAGCCUCACACGCUGUUCAGAAUCUAUCCAUACCAACAAGUACAGGCAGGGAUGGGUUUCAUACUCAGGUAAAACAUACAAAUGGUUAAUUCUUUUUUAUAUUAUUUAUUUAUUUAUUUAUUUUAUUUUACUGCUUUUUAGGGCUAUAUCUGGGGCACAUGGAACUUCCCAGGCUCGGUGUCAAAUCAGAGCUGCAACUGCCAGCCUAUGCCACAGCUCAUAGCAACGCUGGAUUCUCAACCCCCAGAGCAAAGGCAGGGAUCUAACUCACAUUCUCAUGGAUACUAGUCAGGUUCAU